AGAUAAUUUGCCCUUAGGUGGAGGAUACCCUCGGGAAACUGAGAAUAAUACUCCAUAGAUCUAGACUGCUGGAAUGCUUUUAGAUCGAAAGAUUUAUCGCCUAAGGAUAAGUCUGCGGACUAUCAGGUUGUAGUCAGGGUAAAGACCUGACUAGCCUACGACGGAUACGGGUAGUGAGAGCUUUAGCCCGGAGAUGAUAUCUGAGACACGAUAUCAGGCCCUACGGGGCGCAGCAGGCGCGAAAACUUCGCACUGUGCGAAAGCACGACGAGGGAAUCCCAAGUGCUGGCUCGUAAGAGUCAGCUGUUUCUCUGUCUAAAACGCAGGGAGAGUAAGAGCUGGGUAAGACGGGUGCCAGCCGCCGCGGUAAUACCUGCAGCUCAAGUGGUGGCCGCUAUUAUUGGGCCUAAAACGUCCGUAGCCGGUUCUAUAAAUGCCUGGGUAAAUCGUACGGCUUAACCGUACGAAUUCCGGGUAGACUGUUCAACUUGGGACCGGGAGAGGCUAGAGGUACUCCUGGGGUAGAGGUGAAAUUCUGUAAUCCUAGGGGGACCACCAGUGGCGAAGGCGUCUAGCUAGAACGGGUCUGACGGUGAGGGACGAAGCCCUGGGGAGCAAACGGGAUUAGAUACCCCGGUAGUCCAGGGUGUAAACGCUGCUCGCUUGAUGUUAGUCGGGCUCCGAGCCCAACUAGUGUCGGAGAGAAGUUGUUAAGCGAGCUGCCUGGGGAGUACGGUCGCAAGACUGAAACUUAA
Molecule: ribosomal RNA, 755 nt
Filed under: uncultured archaeon
Lineage: Archaea
Description: bacterial SSU rRNA
Rfam family: Archaeal small subunit ribosomal RNA
Source: RNAcentral